GGCUCAUCAAGAGAUGGUGGAGGGAAUGGCCCAAUGAAACCGCGGCAACCAUUUGGAAUAUCCAAAAACGGUGCCAAUUCCUGCGGUAAAGAUCGCAAGAUGGGAG
Molecule: non-coding RNA, 106 nt
Filed under: Pelosinus sp. UFO1
Lineage: Bacteria; Bacillati; Bacillota; Negativicutes; Selenomonadales; Sporomusaceae
Also listed under: 1 other name
Description: SAM riboswitch aptamer (S box leader)
Rfam family: SAM riboswitch aptamer (S box leader)
About the family: The SAM riboswitch is found upstream of a number of genes which code for proteins involved in methionine or cysteine biosynthesis in Gram-positive bacteria. The SAM riboswitch acts at the level of transcription termination control. The predicted structure consists of a complex stem-loop region followed by a single stem loop terminator region.
Source: Rfam by way of RNAcentral